This 508-nucleotide ribosomal RNA is filed under the name uncultured Oscillospiraceae bacterium. Its description in RNAcentral is "partial 16S ribosomal RNA". Lineage: Bacteria; Bacillati; Bacillota; Clostridia; Eubacteriales; Oscillospiraceae. The record is from RNAcentral.
CACGUAGUUAGCCGUGGCUUCCUCCUUGGCUACCGUCAUUAUCGUCACCAAGGACAGAGGUUUACAAUCCGAAAACCUUCUUCCCUCACGCGGCGUCGCUGGGUCAGGGUUUCCCCCAUUGCCCAAUAUUCCCCACUGCUGCCUCCCGUAGGAGUCUGGGCCGUGUCUCAGUCCCAAUGUGGCCGUUCAAUCUCCCAGUCCGGCUACCAAUCGUCGGCAUGGUGGGCCUCUACCCCGGCCAUCUACCUAAUUGGACGCGAGCCCAUCUCUCAGCGGAUUGCUCCUUUGAUUGCAAAACCAUGCGGCUCUGCAAUGUUAUGCGGUAUUAGCGAUCGUUUCCAAUCGUUAUCCCCCGUCUGAAAGGCAGGUUGCUCACGCGUUACUCACCCGUCGCCACUCGAAUAUGCCUUCCUCGGCCGAAGCCUUGUCCAGCAUAUCCCCGUUCGACUUGCAUGUGUUAGGCGCGCCGCCAGCGUGUCGUCGUAGCCACGGAGUCAACGUACUCUAC